GACGAACGCUGGCGGCGUGCCUAAUACAUGCAAGUCGAACGCACUCUCGUUUAGAUUGAAGGAGUUUGCUCCUGAUUGAUAAACAUUUGAGUGAGUGGCGGACGGGUGAGUAACACGUGGGUAACCUGCCCUAAAGUGGGGGAUAACAUUUGGAAACAGAUGCUAAUACCGCAUAAAACCUAACACCGCAUGGUGUAGGGUUGAGAGAUGGUUUCGGCUAUCACUUUAGGAUGGACCCGCGUAGCAUUAGUUAGUUGGUGAGGUAAAGGCUCACCAAGACCGUGAUGCAUAGCCGAUCUGAGAGGGUAAUCGGCCACACUGGGACUGAGACACGGCCCAGACUCCUACGGGAGGCAGCAGUAGGGAAUCUUCCACAAUGGACGAAAGUCUGAUGGAGCAACGCCGCGUGAGUGAAGAAGGCUUUCGGAUCGUAAAACUCUGUUGUUGGAGAAGAAUGUAUCUGAUAGUAACUGCUCAGGUAGUGACGGUAUCAAACCAGAAAGCCACGGCUAACUACGUG
This 520-nucleotide ribosomal RNA is filed under the name uncultured bacterium. RNAcentral's name for it is "partial 16S ribosomal RNA". It matches the Rfam family "Bacterial small subunit ribosomal RNA", at positions 28 to 507 of the family's 1533-position model. The record is from RNAcentral.